UAUCUAGUAUUCCCUUUUCUGGAUUAAUUCUGUGAGAGAGCUGGGAGGAUUUAUGUGCCUGUAGUCAGGAAGAGUCAGAACUCUGAUUUUAAAG
Molecule: long non-coding RNA, 94 nt
Organism: Nothoprocta perdicaria
Lineage: Eukaryota; Metazoa; Chordata; Aves; Tinamiformes; Tinamidae
Exons: 2
Source: RefSeq, a predicted model, not a curated record